UCGAUUUCUAGUUAGGGAGGGAAGAUGGAUCAGGAGAUCGGGAGUCAAGGUUGUCGCAUCACUCAUACUUGCACGCCUUCCUCUGUCCUGUUUCAUGGACCCACCUUUUCUAGUUUUCUCAACCACCUGUGCACCCUUUGUAGGCCCUCGAAAGAGGAUCUACGUUCAUCUAUCUACGCUUUUAUGCUACGCAUGUCUAGAACGUAUACAAACUUUACAACUUUCAGCAAUGGAUCUCUUGGCUCUCGCAUCGAUGAAGAACGCAGCGAAUCGCGAUAAGUAAUGUGAAUUGCAGAUUUUCAGUGAAUCAUCGAAUCUUUGAACGCACCUUGCGCUCCUUGGUAUUCCGAGGAGCAUGCCUGUUUGAGUGUCAUCGAAUUCUCAACCAUGUCUUGAGCUUGAUCUCGAGGCCAUGGCUUGGACUUUGGGAGUUGCUGGCUGUGUUCAGCUCUCCUUAAAUGCAUUAGCGACGGUCAGCAAGCCUGACGUGCACGGCCCUUUUCGACGUGAUAACUCGUUAGAUCGUCGUGGGCUGGAGCGUAGGGCGAGCGGUGAAUCGCUUCCAAUCCCUUAGACUUUCGGUCCUUCAAGAGACUCGAGUGGUAAGCCUCAGUUACUAGUCACCGACGAACGCGAGGCCCAAGCUUGAAACUCGGAAGAAUCAUGGUCUUCGAUCUUGAUCUUGAUCUUGAUGUUGGACCUUUGAGAGACCUAAGCCUUAGUUACUAGUCGAUCGUGAGGUCGACGAACACAGGGUAUAGGUUUGAAACUUCGAAGCGAUCGUCUUGAUCUUGAACUUUGAACUC
This 806-nucleotide ribosomal RNA is filed under the name Boletus monilifer. RNAcentral's name for it is "eukaryotic LSU rRNA". The stretch from base 219 to 373 matches the Rfam family "5.8S ribosomal RNA". The record is from RNAcentral. Lineage: Eukaryota; Fungi; Basidiomycota; Agaricomycetes; Boletales; Boletaceae.